UACGAAGGGGGCUAGCGUUGCUCGGAAUCACUGGGCGUAAAGCGCACGUAGGCGGAUCUUUAAGUCGGGGGUGAAAUCCUGGAGCUCAACUCCAGAACUGCCUCCGAUACUGGGGAUCUCGAGUCCGGGAGAGGUGAGUGGAACUGCGAGUGUAGAGGUGAAAUUCGUAGAUAUUCGCAAGAACACCAGUGGCGAAGGCGGCUCACUGGCCCGGUACUGACGCUGAGGUGCGAAAGCGUGGGGAGCAAACAGG
RNAcentral lists this ribosomal RNA (253 nucleotides) under uncultured bacterium. Its description in RNAcentral is "partial 16S ribosomal RNA". It matches the Rfam family "Bacterial small subunit ribosomal RNA", at positions 524 to 776 of the family's 1533-position model. The record is from RNAcentral.